Molecule: long non-coding RNA, 267 nt
Filed under: Gossypium raimondii (Peruvian cotton)
Lineage: Eukaryota; Viridiplantae; Streptophyta; Magnoliopsida; Malvales; Malvaceae
Description: long non-coding RNA (GRAI_LNC001778)
Source: RNAcentral
GUUUAAUUCUUUUUUCUAUUUUAGGUUGAUUGAUGAGUAAGCAAAUGAUAAGACAUUGUGUUUGUGAGAUUGAGCUGUUUUCAAGUUAUUUGCUGGCUUUAGUUAAGACAAUUCUUCACAAUUUUUUGCUACAAUUGGUCGAGAUAUAGAGUUGGAAGUGAAUCACUUGCAUUUGGAGAAAAUUUUGACUUUCUUAUGGAUAACUUUGAUGGAUUGCCACAUAUUUCCAUCUCAUUGGAAUUCAACUUUUGAGAAUUUUAUUUAUUU